GACGAACGCUGGCGGCGUGCUUAACACAUGCAAGUCGAACGGAAAGGCCCUGCUUUUGUGGGGUGCUCGAGUGGCGAACGGGUGAGUAACACGUGAGUAACCUGCCCUUGACUUUGGGAUAACUUCAGGAAACUGGGGCUAAUACCGGAUAGGAGCUCCUGCUGCAUGGUGGGGGUUGGAAAGUUUCGGCGGUUGGGGAUGGACUCGCGGCUUAUCAGCUUGUUGGUGGGGUAGUGGCUUACCAAGGCUUUGACGGGUAGCCGGCCUGAGAGGGUGACCGGCCACAUUGGGACUGAGAUACGGCCCAGACUCCUACGGGAGGCAGCAGUGGGGAGUAUUGCACAGUGGGCGGAAGCCUGAUGCAGCGACGCCGCGUGCGGGAUGACGGCCUUCGGGUUGUAAACCGCCGUCGCCUGUGACGAAGCGUGAGUGACGGUAAUGGGUAAAGAAGCACCGGCUAACUACGUG
Molecule: ribosomal RNA, 468 nt
Filed under: uncultured bacterium
Lineage: Bacteria
Description: partial 16S ribosomal RNA
Rfam family: Bacterial small subunit ribosomal RNA
Source: RNAcentral